UCAGUCGACUCCUACGGGGAGGCAGCAGUGGGGAAUAUUGCACAAUGGGGGAAACCCUGAUGCAGCCAUGCCGCGUGUGUGAAGAAGGCCUUCGGGUUGUAAAGCACUUUCAGUAGGGAGGAAGGUAGUGUAGUUAACACCUGCAUUAUUUGACGUUACCUACAGAAGAAGCACCGGCUAACUCCGUGCCAGCAGCCGCGGUAAUACGGAGGGUGCGAGCGUUAAUCGGAAUUACUGGGCGUAAAGCGCAUGCAGGUGGCCUGUUAAGUCAGAUGUGAAAGCCCGGGGCUUAACCUCGGAAUUGCAUUUGAAACUGGCAGGCUAGAGUCUUGUAGAGGGGGGUAGGAAUUUCAGGUGUAGCGGUGAAAUGCGUAGAGAUCUGAAGGAAUACCAGUGGCGAAGGCGGCCCCCUGGACAAAGACUGACGCUCAGAUGCGAAAGCGUGGGGAGCAAACAGGAUUAGAUACCCUGGUAG
Molecule: ribosomal RNA, 475 nt
Filed under: uncultured bacterium
Lineage: Bacteria
Description: bacterial SSU rRNA
Rfam family: Bacterial small subunit ribosomal RNA
Source: RNAcentral